RNAcentral lists this transfer RNA (75 nucleotides) under Cordylochernes scorpioides. RNAcentral describes it as "tRNA-Thr". The record is from RNAcentral. Lineage: Eukaryota; Metazoa; Arthropoda; Arachnida; Pseudoscorpiones; Chernetidae.
UGUCCAGUGAUGGGAAUCGAACCCACAGUGUUCCGCUUACUGGGCAGAUGCCAUGUCCACUAAGCUACCCUGGAC